Long non-coding RNA from Zea mays, 1310 nucleotides. RefSeq lists it as uncharacterized. The transcript has a single exon. The record is from RefSeq and is marked validated. Lineage: Eukaryota; Viridiplantae; Streptophyta; Magnoliopsida; Poales; Poaceae.
ACAUACCUAUCAAUCCAUCUAUUAAACCAAAUAUUGGAAGUGGCGAAUUAGCUUACCAUCAUUAAAUCCGACUUGAAACCAGAAAAUCGACGACGCCUUUCAGCUCUAGCAUUUCACCGAACACAUGGUGAGUGCCGCGUCGAAUCGCACUUCUUCUUCAUCCACAUCGAGAAUUCUCCGGCCGCGUACUGAUUUGUUUCCUUCCGCGCCUAAUCUUCUCAAAUUUUUGGCGUGCACACAAGUGGAAGACGUCAUGUAGGAGCCAGCAUCAGGGCAAGGCGAUGGAUCGAUGACAAGCACCAAGGAGGGAUAGGCGACGUUGUUGUAGACUCGGAAAAGGGACGAACGACGAUGUCGAACGCGAUCUAGGUAACAGAACAGCAUGCCAACAAGUCCACGAUGACACCACGAGGUGGACGCGGCAACGCACCACCCAACGCGCAAAGAGGGAGCGACGGCUAGCGAGCUGGGCGAGCGCGGACCUUCCAAGGAACGGCGUCAGCGAGCCCCCGACGAGGGAGAAGUGGAAGGAGGCAAGAAGAGAGGGACGCUGGCGAGCUAGGAAGCAGGGACGGCCAGCGCAGCGAGAUGGAGCACGACGCUGGAGGAGCAGAGGGAGAAGACGCCGACCAGGGAGAAGCGUGCGGCCAUGGACGAACUGCAGGCCGCGGCAGGGCGGGCACGAGGCCGGCCAGGGAGAGCAAGGGAGGGAGAUGGACUUGGCGAGCUGGAAGCCAAGCGCCGGCGAGCUGGAGGCCGGGAGGGCGCUCGGCCGGCGAGGUUGGCCGGCGGCACGGCACUGGGGACUGGCGUGGGAGGAUGCGCACGCAGGGACUCCACGGCGCGCAGAUGCCAGGGCGUGCGGCUAGGGAAGAAGAUGGAGCAGAGGACGCUGGCUUGGAGGAGCAGGGGGGUGCACGACGGCCAUGGGAAGCUGGGGCGCGCGCUUAAGGAGGGAGAGGAAGGAGCCGAGCACCAUGGGAACCAAGGCGGGGUUGCGGCCGGCGAGCUGGAGAUGGCCGGCGGCGCGAGCAGGGAAGGAGCAGAGGCCGAGCUCGGCGCACGGCAUAGCGAGUUCGAAGCGGUGCCGAGCAGGGGGAGCCGCCAUGGGCGAGAUCCGUGCUUGAGGGGCGCGGCAAACCUGAAGCCGAGCAGGCAGGGGCGGACGCGCCAGGAGCAAGGGAGCAGGUGCCAGGGACGCAACAGCAGGGAGAUGGGCACCGCGGCUGGAGAAGAUAGGAGGAGCGGCUGGGCACUAGAGAGCCGAGCAGGUGAUGUGCUGCACGAGGAAGAAGAAUGCGUAGCCAGAA